Molecule: ribosomal RNA, 254 nt
Filed under: uncultured bacterium
Lineage: Bacteria
Description: partial 16S ribosomal RNA
Rfam family: Bacterial small subunit ribosomal RNA
Source: RNAcentral
UACGUAGGGGGCGAGCGUUAUCCGGAAUUACUGGGCGUAAAGCGCACGCAGGCGGUUCGCCAAGUUUUGGAGUGACAGUUGUCGGCUCAACCGACAAAGGACUUCAAAAACUGGUGAACUUGAGGACGAGAGAGGAACAUGGAACUCCAGGUGUAGUAGUGAAAUGCGUAGAUAUCUGGAAGAACACCAAUGGCGAAGGCAAUGUUCUGGCUCGUUUCUGACGCUCAGGUGCGAAAGCCAGGGGAGCGAACGGG